RNAcentral lists this small RNA (125 nucleotides) under Marmota monax (woodchuck). Lineage: Eukaryota; Metazoa; Chordata; Mammalia; Rodentia; Sciuridae. The record is from RNAcentral.
GCCAGGUGCAGUGGCACACGCUUGUAAUCCCAGCAGCUUGGGAGGCUGAGGCAGGAGGAUCUCGAGUUCAAAACCAGCCUCUGCAAUGGGGAGGCACUUAGCAACUCAGUGAGACCCUGUCUCUA